Molecule: ribosomal RNA, 372 nt
Filed under: uncultured organism
Description: bacterial SSU rRNA
Rfam family: Bacterial small subunit ribosomal RNA
Source: RNAcentral
CAGAGGUGGCAAGCGUUGUUCGGAAUUACUGGGCGUAAAGGGCGCGUAGGCGGCCAUCUAAGUCAGACGUGAAAUCCCCCGGCUUAACCUGGGAACUGCGUCUGAUACUGGACGGCUUGAGUAUGGGAGAGGGAUGUAGAAUUCCAGGUGUAGCGGUGAAAUGCGUAGAUAUCUGGAGGAAUACCGGUGGCGAAGGCGGCAUCCUGGACCAUUACUGACGCUGAGGCGCGAAAGCUAGGGGAGCAAACGGGAUUAGAUACCCCGGUAGUCCUAGCCCUAAACGAUGAAUGCUUGGUGUGGCGGGUAUCGAUCCCUGCCGUGCCGAAGCUAACGCAUUAAGCAUUCCGCCUGGGGAGUACGGUCGCAAGGCUA